Molecule: ribosomal RNA, 267 nt
Filed under: uncultured bacterium
Lineage: Bacteria
Description: partial 16S ribosomal RNA
Rfam family: Bacterial small subunit ribosomal RNA
Source: RNAcentral
UAUGGCGACCGGCGCACGGGUGAGUAACACGUAUCCAACCUGCCCUCGUUCAGGGGGACAACCUUCCGAAAGGGAGGCUAAUCCCGCGUAUAUCGGUUUCGGGCAUCCGAGAUCGAGGAAAGAUUCAUCGGAAGAGGAUGGGCAUGCGGCGCAUUAGCUAGACGGCGGGGUAACGGCCCACCGUGGCGACGAUGCGUAGGGGUUCUGAGAGGAAGGUCCCCCACACUGGUACUGAGACACGGACCAGACUCCUACGGGAGGCAGCAG